Tetranychus urticae (two-spotted spider mite) is the source of this 2535-nucleotide long non-coding RNA. RefSeq lists it as uncharacterized. Lineage: Eukaryota; Metazoa; Arthropoda; Arachnida; Trombidiformes; Tetranychidae. The record is from RefSeq and is a predicted model, not a curated record.
CACUGGUCAACAGAUUUGUUAGGCCUCACUAACCCAACUCAUUUUGCAAUGAAUUACAUUGUCUAAUUCAAUUUAAUGGCUAACUAUGUGUUGAUGUUAUAUGAGAUGUAGGGACAAGUUUAUCCAACUGUUAAAUGUAAUUAACAAUGUCCAAAAGAUGUGCGCUCAAUUCUGAACUACUCUUAGGAGCAACCGUUUAAUAUUACAAUAAUACAAUUGUGGUCUUGUUUCUGGACUAAUCUGGAUAUUAAAACAAUUUAUAAGAUAAUCAUUAUGGAGAUGACUAAUAUUAUCAUCUAGAACAUCAUUAUCAUUAUCUCUUUCCUUCCUGACUGUGCGAGGUUUGGAAUCACCUUUUUUUGAUGGGUUUAGUGAUUGUUUUAACCAUUGUUUAAACGAGAAGCUUCACAGCUGAUUUAGAAAUACAUUCUCUAUUCAUUUUCAUUUUUAUUGAGUUUUUUCAUUAUAGCUUGUGAAUUGAUCUUACCUAAAAUGAUUCAAUAAUGAAGAUAAUUAUAAUAACGAUGACAUUGAUGUAACUAAUGAUUUUGCUUGUUUUAGUGGAGUUAAAGUGUUGAAUAAUGAGGGAAUCCAUUAAUUUGUUUGCAAAGAUGUUCGUUUGCCAACUAUUGGAUCUUAAAUUGUUCAAGAAACCACGAAUCCUAAAGAAAUUACGUUUGAAAAUUAUGCUAAAGGACAAUUUAUGUUUUUGCAUUGCGAUACUGGAGAUCCUCCGAAAAAUUACAAAUUUUACCGACUUGGCUUCGAUAUCUUCUUGAUAAUCAAAAACUUCAAGCUUUCGAGCUAUUUACAUAUUGUUCAACCACCAUUGUCUUUCCUUACUCUCUGACAGGAUCCACUCUUGUUAACAAUAUGUUUUCUCAUUUUUCAUCACAGAGCAUCUUGAGUUUACUAUUAUAGUCUUCAAGCUGUUGAAGGAGAUAUUAAAAUGAUAUUCAAAAUAAAGAAGGACUUCCUCAGAGCCUGGUGAAUAUGAAAAUUCAAUUUUUAUGAGAUAUUUUCACGUCAAAGCAAAACUUGGUGCAUCAUGCUAAGUUGGUUGUAAAAAAUGAAUGAAAGAGGAUGCUACGCUAAUUUUUUUCUAGAUUAUAUCAUCCAUAAUCAUGUCAACUAUUCAUUGAAAGCUAUUUAAUCCUCUAAAUGUCGUUAUUCAUUUAUAGUAUCAUCCACCUACCUCCUUACGAGUAAGGUAAAUUAUUAAUAUUACGAUUGAUCAAAAGCUGACAAGAAAUGCAUGUCAGAAAAUCUAUUUUUUGUGUUUUCCCAUUUUCUAUUGCAAAAUCAACCAUUCGGAAAAUCAAUAUUUUCCUCCAAAAGACGGACAUUUCAGUAGGCAAACCCUUCUUUUUAAGGAUCAAUGGACUCAUAUUAUCCUAAUGGAAAGCAAUCAAAUUGACUGAAGCCAUCCUGAUGCUGAUGUUUGUAUCAUGAUUGGAAAUCAUCAACACUCUAUAAGGAAUCAUUUCUCGUUGAAUAACAUCAUUUGGCCUCUGUUCCUCAGCCUUAUUAAGUUAUAUUCAAUUACACUGCUGUUAUAAAUGUAUUUCAUUCCAGUUGUCCUGCUGCCAUCAAUACUUACGAAAACAAUAAUUAAUUCUCCCUGUUCUUUCUCAAGAUACUUUAAGGUAUGGUUCCUGUUUUUGUCAUAUUGGCAAUCAAUUGAGUAAAUUAAUACAAUCCCAAUGGCUGGUGAAAAGUGUGUCAAACUUGUAUCAUUUUAUCUGAACUCAUUUUUUACAUUUUUAAAUAUUUAUAAUAUUUUUAAAUAUGUAAGGUUCAUUGCGGAUAGGGAACUAGAAACUAAGGAUUACUUGCUAUUAUUUCAUACAAGUUGAUCAAAAUGCUCGGAUGCAAGGCUCGAAUCAUUUAUAUCAAUUAAUAGCAUCAAAUUAUAAACGUAAAUAGUUUUGAGUGUCAGCUUCUCUCUAUGAUUGAUACGCAUCUACAUUGAAUAUAAUCAAAAACUAAUCAAUAUCAUGAAAUGAGCUUUAUUUACUGCUAAUACUUAAUAUCCAAAUUUUGUGACUAAGUGUAGAUCAAUCACCAACUUGAACCAAGACACCAUAUCAAUCAUUAGAAAUGGACAACACUUGAAAUAGUUUAUAAUUGACUAUGUGAUUGGAUGCAAUAUCAAUGAUAAGCUGACCAAUUAUUCAUUGUAUUCAUGAAUUGUAUGAAUUUUCAUCAACUAAUUGUUGAGAAUAACAUGAAAGAUUGUCUUUUGAAUUUGAUGAAAUCAGUUAUAAAUCCAGCCUUAUAAUACCAUCAACCUCACAUGAUGACCUUAAGUAACAUAUUGAUUUUAUGUCCUGUUGUGACCUGGAAUUUGUCAUUAUUAUUUUCUCUCAUGAUAAUGGAUUAUAAUUCAGCAACAACUUUUAUUCAUCCACCAACUUUCAACACCAUUCACUAAAUCGAUUCUUUAUUGAUUUAAUAAUACUCAUGAGCAUGUCUCAUAAUUUCACUUAAACCCUUAUCAUUUACAACUCAAUAUAACUCGCCUGUUGAUCUUUA